UGCGAAAGCAUUUUGCCAAGAAUGUUUUCAUUAAUCAAGAACGAAAGUUUGAGGUUCGAAGACGAUUAGAUACCGUCCUAGUUCAAACCAUAAACGUUGCCAACUGUCUUUUAGAUGCGGUUAUUUAUAUGACUCAUCUGGCGGAUCUCGAGAAAUCUAAGUUUUUAGGUUCCGGGGGAAGUAUGGUUGCAAAGCUGAAACUUAAAAGAAUUGACGGAAGGACACACAAGAAGUGGAGCCUGUGGCCUAAUUUGACUCAACACGGGAAACCUUACUCGGCCAGGACACUUUUAGGAUUGACAGAUUGAGAGCUCUUUCUUGAUUAGGUGGGUGGUGGUGCAUGGUCGUUCGUAGUUCGUGGAGCGAUUUGUCUGAUUAAUUUCGAUAACGAACGAGACUCCGGCUUACUAAAUAGUCUAAAGUUCGAAGGGACUUUUCAAGACUUCUUAGCAGGAUAAGUGGCACUUUUUAAGCCACACGAAAUGGAGCAAUAACAGGUCUGUGAUGCCCUUAGAUGUCCGAGGCUGCACGCGCGCUACACUGGAGAGUUCAGAAUGUUUCUUCCUACUUCGACAGAAGUGGGUAACCAUGAAAUUCUCUUCGUGACUGGGAUCGGAGCUUGCAAUUAUUCUCCGUCAACGAGGAAUUCCUAGUAAGCACUAUUUCAUCAGAAUGUGCUGAUUAUGUCCCUGUCCUUUGUACACACCGCCCGUCGCUACUACCGAUUGAAUGUUUUAGUGAGAUCUUCGGCUUGGUUUUCCGAGCGGCUCUCGGGUCGUUCGGUUUUUAUCGAAAAGAUGCUCAAACUGGAUCAUUUAGAGGAAGUAAAAGUCGUAACAAGGUAUUC
RNAcentral lists this ribosomal RNA (847 nucleotides) under Adineta vaga. RNAcentral describes it as "SSU rRNA". It matches the Rfam family "Eukaryotic small subunit ribosomal RNA", at positions 944 to 1804 of the family's 1831-position model. The record is from RNAcentral. Lineage: Eukaryota; Metazoa; Rotifera; Eurotatoria; Adinetida; Adinetidae.